Molecule: long non-coding RNA, 2157 nt
Filed under: Homo sapiens (human)
Lineage: Eukaryota; Metazoa; Chordata; Mammalia; Primates; Hominidae
Description: non-protein coding lnc-HOGA1-1:1
Rfam family: Metazoan signal recognition particle RNA (bases 373-520)
Source: RNAcentral
CCUCAGAGAGGCAAUGUAGUUAGAUUUUGAGGACACCGAGUCAGGCUGCCUGCUGUGUUUGCCUUCUUGUUCUACCACUUAGAGUUCUGUGAUCUUGAGUAAGUUACUUAGCUUCUCCUUGCCUCAAUUUCCCCAUCUGUUAAAUGGGAAUAAUAAUAGUAUGUGCCUACCUCAUAAGGUUGUCAUGAGGAUUAAAUAAGAUGAUAAAUACAAAAUGCUUAGAAGAGAGGCUGGCAUGGGCCGGGCAUGGUGGCUGAUGCCUGUAAUCCCAGCACUUGGGGAGGCCGAGGUGGGCGGAUCACGAGGUCAGGAGUUCGAGACCAGCUUGGCCAACAUGGUAAAACCCCAUCUCUACUAAAAAUACAAAAAUUAGCCGGGUGUGGUGGCGGGCACCUGUAAUCCCAGCUACUCAGGAGGCUGAGGCAGGAGAAUUGCUUGAACCCAGGAGGCAGAGGUUGCAGUGAGCUGAGAUCACACCACUGCACUCCAGCCUGGGUGACAGAGCAAGACUCUGUCUCGAGAAAUAAAUAAAUAAAUAAAUAAAUAAAUAAAUCUGAAAAGAAUCUCAUGGAUUUAGCCCAACCUCUCAUUUUAUAGGAGAAAUAGAAGCCCAGAGAGGUAAUAAAGUUUGUUGACAGCCUCCCCUGACUAUGCUAGUCCUUUUUUCCUGUACAGCACAGCCUCUGCUUUUAGCUCAGGCUAACUUAAAGAGACCUUUGAAAGCUGGGCAUAAGAGUUUACAGCAUAUGAGGGAGGAAAAGAGGCGACCUCUGCGGGUUUGUGAACCAGGAUGUAAUAUGAAGGCAGUGUGUAAGGAAAAUGAAUGUGGUAGCACGAAGUGGGAUGAAUUGGAGCAGCAAGUCCAUAGUCAGAAAAGCUUGCAAGGAAGGGAAAUAUGAUAAUGAAGCAAAUUGUAAAAAUGGGCAGAGUUAUUCUCCCUCCGUUCAUGACCCUACAAUGUGACAAGGCAGAUCCUCCCAUUAAGAGGCAGAGUUGGCCGGGUGCGGUGGCUCACGCCUGUAAUCCCAGCACUCUGGGAGGCGGAGUGGGUGGAUCACCUGAACCAGAAUGGCCAGCAUGGAGAAAUCCUGUCUCUACUAAAGAUACAAAACAUUAGCAGGGCGUGGUGGCGGGUGCCUGUAAUCCCAGCUACUCGGGAGACUGAUGCAGAAGAACUGCUUGAACUCGGGAGGCAGAGGUUGCAGUAAGCCAAGAUCGCACCACUGCAUUCCAGCCUGGGCGACAGAGUGAGGCUCUGUCUAAAAAAAAAAAGAGGCAGAGUUUAUUUAUUCCUCCACCUGCUGGACCUGGGUUGGCUGUGUGACUUGUUCUAGAUAAUGGAAUGUUCGCAAAGGUGAUCUAGCAGAGGUCUGCAAAGCACCUGUGCACUGGGCUUGCCCUCUUGCUACACUUGGACCUGUUCUGCCCCCAUGUAAAUGAGUCCAAUCUAGUCUACUGGAUGGUGAGACCCUGUCCCAGCUGGCCACAGAUGAACAAAUUGCUCAGGCAAGACUAGAAGAACUGCCCUUCUGAGCCCGGCCCCAAACUAGCGACCACAGACUCACAGGAUAAAUAAAUGGUUAUUGUUUCAAGCCACUGUGUUUUCUGGUGGUGUGUUAUUACCCAGAAAAAGCUAACUGAUACGUUCAGGCAUGAGUCUGGGAGAUCACAGUAUAAUGGGAGCAGAAGGAACAACUGGGGGGAUACAUCAUAGGAAAACAAUCAGUAACAUUUGGGGACUGGCUAGAUAUGGCUUCACAUUAGUGGUGAAAGGAUGUAUUGAAGGAUAUUCUAUAAGAAGGGAACUGCACGGUGGCUCAAACCUACAAUCCCAGCACUUUGGGAGGCUGAGGCUUGCGGACCACUUGAGCUCAGGAGUUUGAGACCAGCCUGGGCAAUAUGGUGAAACCCCAUCUGUACCAAAAUUACAAAAAAUCCAAAAAUUAGCCGGGUGUGGUGGUGCGUUCCUGUAGUCCCAGCUACUUGGGAGGCUGAGGUGGAAGGAUCGCUUGAACCCAGGAGGCAGAAGUGCAGUGAGCCAAGAUCACGCCACGACACUCCAGCCUGGGCGACAGAGGGAGACCCUGUCUCAAAAAAAAAAAAAAAAACGGAAGAAGAAGAAGAGGGAAUUAAGAUACCCCCCAAAAUCAUUAAAUA